AUACGUAGGGUGCAAGCGUUAAUCGGAAUUACUGGGCGUAAAGCGUGCGCAGGCGGUUUUGUAAGACAGAGGUGAAAUCCCCGGGCUCCACCUGGGAACUGCCUUUGUGACUGCAAGGCUGGAGUGCGGCAGCGGGGGAUGGAAUUCCGCGUGUAGCAGUGAAAUGCGUAGAUAUGCGGAGGAACACCGAUGGCGAAGGCAAUCCCCUGGGCCUGCACUGACGCUCAUGCACGAAAGCGUGGGGAGCAAACAGGAUUAGAUACCCUGGUAGUCCACGCCCUAAACGAUGUCAACUGGUUGUUGGGGAUUUAUUUUCUCAGUAACGAAGCUAACGCGUGAAGUUGACCGCCUGGGGAGUACGGCCGCAAGGUUAAAACUCAAAUGAAUUGGCUGGG
RNAcentral lists this ribosomal RNA (395 nucleotides) under uncultured bacterium. Its description in RNAcentral is "partial 16S ribosomal RNA". It matches the Rfam family "Bacterial small subunit ribosomal RNA", at positions 523 to 918 of the family's 1533-position model. The record is from RNAcentral.